AGCUCGACCGGGUCGACGGCCCGGCUGGUGAGCAGGUAGUCGCGCAUGACGAUCGCGUGCCUGCCCUC
Molecule: small RNA, 68 nt
Filed under: Actinacidiphila cocklensis
Lineage: Bacteria; Bacillati; Actinomycetota; Actinomycetes; Kitasatosporales; Streptomycetaceae
Description: Streptomyces cocklensis ASdes
Rfam family: ASdes TB sRNA
Source: RNAcentral